Molecule: unclassified non-coding RNA, 220 nt
Filed under: Tomentella lilacinogrisea
Lineage: Eukaryota; Fungi; Basidiomycota; Agaricomycetes; Thelephorales; Thelephoraceae
Description: partial internal transcribed spacer 2
Source: RNAcentral
ACACCUCAACUCUCAUGGUUUGCCAUGAUGAGCUUGGACUUUGGGGGUCUUGCUGGCCUUAUGGGUCAGCUCCUCUCAAAUGGAUCAGCUUGCCAGUGUUUGGUGGCGUCACAGGUGUGAUAACUAUCUACGCUUGUGGCUCUCUGCCAGAUAACCUUCAGCAAUGGAGGUCCACUGGAGCUCAUAAAUGUCUCUCCUCAGCGAGGACAGCUCUUUGAAU